RNAcentral lists this ribosomal RNA (911 nucleotides) under uncultured bacterium. Its description in RNAcentral is "bacterial SSU rRNA". It matches the Rfam family "Bacterial small subunit ribosomal RNA", at positions 21 to 904 of the family's 1533-position model. The record is from RNAcentral.
GGCUCAGAACGACCGCUGGCGGCGUGGAUAAGACAUGCAAGUCGGACGCUGAUUACGGGGUAGCAAUAUUCUGUGGUCGGAGUGGCGCAAGGGUGCGUAACACGUGGGUAAUCUGCCGCGAAGACUGGAAUAACUUGCUGAAAAGCGAGCUAAUGCCGGAUGUGAUUGCCGGGGGGCCUCCCCGGGCAAUCAAAGCUGGGGACCGCAAGGCCUGGCACUUCGCGAUGAGCCCGCGGCCUAUCAGCUAGUUGGUGGGGUAACGGCUCACCAAGGCUAAGACGGGUAGCUGGUCUGAGAGGACGACCAGCCACACUGGAACUGAGACACGGUCCAGACACCUACGGGUGGCAGCAGUCGAGAAUUUUUCACAAUGGGCGCAAGCCUGAUGGAGCGACGCCGCGUGGGGGAUGAAUGGCUUCGGCCCGUAAACCCCUGUCAUGGGCGAUCAACCCUUUUCCGUGAACAGCGGAAAAGCUGAUAGUAGCUCAAGAGGAAGGGACGGCUAACUCUGUGCCAGCAGCCGCGGUAAUACAGAGGUCCCAAGCGUUGUUCGGAUUCACUGGGCGUAAAGGGUGCGUAGGCGGUCGGGUAAGUCUGAUGUGAAAUCUCGGAGCUCAACUCCGAAACGGCAUCGGAUACUAUCCGGCUCGAGGUGUGGAGGGGGGACUGGAAUUCUCGGUGUAGCAGUGAAAUGCGUAGAUAUCGAGAGGAACACCAGCGGCGAAGGCGAGUCCCUGGACAUUACCUGACGCUGAGGCACGAAAGCUAGGGGAGCAAACAGGAUUAGAUACCCUGGUAGUCCUAGCCCUAAACGGUGCACGUUUGCUGUGAGAGGAAUCGACCCCUUUCGUGGCGAAGCUAACGCGUUAAACGUGCCGCCUGGGAAGUACGGCCGCANGGGUUAAACUCAA